CUCGCGUCUGAUUAGCUGUUGGCGGGGACGACCGCCCAACGAGGCGAGUCAGUAGCCGGACUGAGAGGUUGGCCGGCCACAUUGGGACUGAGACACGGCCCAGACUCCUACGGAAGGCAGCAG
This 123-nucleotide ribosomal RNA is filed under the name uncultured bacterium. Its description in RNAcentral is "partial 16S ribosomal RNA". It matches the Rfam family "Bacterial small subunit ribosomal RNA", at positions 230 to 354 of the family's 1533-position model. The record is from RNAcentral.